RNAcentral lists this ribosomal RNA (449 nucleotides) under uncultured prokaryote. RNAcentral describes it as "bacterial SSU rRNA". It matches the Rfam family "Bacterial small subunit ribosomal RNA", at positions 355 to 796 of the family's 1533-position model. The record is from RNAcentral.
UAGGGAAUAUUGUGCAAUGGGCGAAAGCCUGACACAGCCAUGCCGCGUGUGUGAAGAAGGCCCUAGGGUUGUAAAGCACUUUCAGCGGAGAAGAAAAGCCCGGGAUUAAUACCCCCGGGUCUUGACGUUACCCGCAGAAGAAGCACCGGCUAACUCCGUGCCAGCAGCCGCGGUAAUACGGAGGGUGCGAACGUUAAUCGGAAUUACUGGGCGUAAAGCGCGCGUAGGCGGUUCGUUAAGUGGGAUGUGAAAUCCCCGGGCUCAACCUGGGAACUGCAUUUCAAACUAGCGGACUAGAGUGUAGUAGAGGGAGGCGGAAUUUCCUGUGUAGCGGUGAAAUGCGUAGAUAUAGGAAGGAACACCAGUGGCGAAGGCGGCCUCCUGGACUAACACUGACGCUGAGGUGCGAAAGCGUGGGGAGCAAACAGGAUUAGAUACCCCCGUAGUCC